ACGGGUGAGUAAUGUCUGGGAAACUGCCCGAUGGAGGGGGAUAACUACUGGAAACGGUAGCUAAUACCGCAUAACGUCGCAAGACCAAAGUGGGGGACCUUCGGGCCUCACACCAUCGGAUGUGCCCAGAUGGGAUUAGCUAGUAGGUGGGGUAAUGGCUCACCUAGGCGACGAUCCCUAGCUGGUCUGAGAGGAUGACCAGCCACACUGGAACUGAGACACGGUCCAGACUCCUACGGGAGGCAGCAGUGGGGAAUAUUGCACAAUGGGCGCAAGCCUGAUGCAGCCAUGCCGCGUGUAUGAAGAAGGCCUUCGGGUUGUAAAGUACUUUCAGCGGGGAGGAAGGCGGUGGAGUUAAUAGCUUCACCGAUUGACGUUACCCGCAGAAGAAGCACCGGCUAACUCCGUGCCAGCAGCCGCGGUAAUACGGAGGGUGCAAGCGUUAAUCGGAAUUACUGGGCGUAAAGCGCACGCAGGCGGCCUGUCAAGUCGGAUGUGAAAUCCCCGGGCUUAACCUGGGAACUGCAUUCGAAACUGGCAGGCUAGAGUCUUGUAGAGGGGGGUAGAAUUCCAGGUGUA
RNAcentral lists this ribosomal RNA (579 nucleotides) under uncultured bacterium. RNAcentral describes it as "bacterial SSU rRNA". It matches the Rfam family "Bacterial small subunit ribosomal RNA", at positions 102 to 677 of the family's 1533-position model. The record is from RNAcentral.